GUGGGAAAGAAAAUGUGAUAUGCCAGAAUUGAAGUUCAUGGUGAUAUAUCUAAAAUAAAAAGAGAAGAAGAUAAUCUAAAUAAUAUUUGUUGCUGUCUUAUUUCAUUUCAUUGUCAUUAUUUUAGAGUACAAAUAUAUAGCUAAAAAGUUCUUGAAAUUAUAAAAAGAAAAAAAAUCAAUUUAUUGGUUGGCAAGAAAUUAACGAAAUGACACCUUGUGAAAUGUUGUAGCAGAGUAUUUGUGUACUCUCUUGGCUCUGACACUAAAUGAAGAAUCAUGUGAGCGCAUAAUAUUUCCGCGACUGUACCGGAACACAUUUACACACUUUUGGAUUCAUGCACUUUGGUUUCAAACCAGGGGAGCACAUAAAUGUUGGACAAUGAGAAUGAUCAAGACAUCGAUAAAUCCCUGUAAUAAAAAAAGAGAAAAAAAGUGUAACUAAAAUGAGAUACUAUAUCGUGUAUGAAGUAAACAAGAAAUUUUUAAAUAGUUAGAAAUAGCUUACGUUCAGCCGCCUUUGUUGUAACUAGAAAUAGGGAAAGAAAGAUAAUCAUACUAUAAACAAAAUAGACAAUUUUAGC
This 581-nucleotide long non-coding RNA is filed under the name Medicago truncatula (barrel medic). Its description in RNAcentral is "lncRNA gene13106". The record is from RNAcentral. Lineage: Eukaryota; Viridiplantae; Streptophyta; Magnoliopsida; Fabales; Fabaceae.